GGCAAGCCCAUGAAGUCCUAGCAACAAGGCAAAGGCUGAAUUUGCUCCAGACACCUAUGGAUUUGCCGUCGGUAAAUCAGGGUAACUCUGAUCUCUUCCACUGCUAACACAGACAGUUGUGAAUCUCCUGCCUCUAAAAUUACGCUCCACAAGACAAACUCAUCCACUCCUCCGUCUUCUCAUCCCCAAGGCCUAAGACAUCUCUGACCUUAUCUCCAAAUACAGUCACCUUCCAAGAUACUGAGGAUUAAGACAUCAACAUAUGGAUUUAAGGGGACACAAUUCAACCCCUUGCAAAGAGCUACAGAUAUCUUUAUUCUACUACUCAUAAAAUGUCUUAGGAAUACAAUAGCCAUUAGAACAUUAACUGGUUGCAAAAGGUUGAAUUGCUGAAGAAACCAGCUGUUUUUCAGAAAGAGAAAAAGCUUUCAUGCAGCAUUCUUCAUUUAGAAGUAUAUACAGCAAGUUAGUGUGUACAUUGAGAAAGACCCAGCAUAAAGUCACAGAGGACUCUGGUGCCAAAUCAUCUGAGUAUUUAUUUGAAUACUGGCUCUGUUUCUGACCAGCUGUGUGACUUUCCCAGCUUGCCUCCAACAACCUCUCCAUUCAAUUUUCCACAUACUGAGAGAGAUUUAUUGAUUACUCUGGCAAGAUACUGGGAUAGGCACAGAAGACCCAGCAGUGCCCAAAAAAACAACCUCUGUCCCACUCUGCCAUAAAGGACUCUACAGUCGAAGUGUUUGAGAAGGUGGAAUCUCCCUCUGUCAACCAGGCUGGAGUGCAUUGGCUUGAUGUCAGAUCUUGGAUCACCGCAGCCUCCGUCUCCUGGGUUCAAGUGAUUCUCCCGCCUCAGCCUCUCGAGCAGCUGGGACUACAGGAAGGCACCACCAUGCCUGGCUAAUUAUAAGUCUUUUGACUCACUCUUGUUCGUCCUACUUUCUUUUGCUUUUAUAUUCCAGUCAAACCAAAUUUCUCAUGGCUUUACGCAACUUUGACUUUAUAAGUUCUGCCCUACCAGCCUCUUGGACUUACCUUCUCUAUUUUUAACUGCCUAGUUCUUAUUAAAGACUGAAGUAAAGCACCUGCUUUCUGUGAAGCAUUUCUUCCAACUCCCUCACACAACAUGAAUUGCUCUCUGCUUUGUCUUCUAACAGUCUUUCAGUGCUACC
This 1169-nucleotide long non-coding RNA is filed under the name Homo sapiens (human). RNAcentral's name for it is "HSALNT0308714". The record is from RNAcentral. Lineage: Eukaryota; Metazoa; Chordata; Mammalia; Primates; Hominidae.